GCUGGGCAUGGUGGUGCAUGCCUCUAAUCCCAGCUACUCGGGAGGCUGAGGUAGGAGAAUCGCUUGAACCCGGGAGGCAGAGGUUGCAGUGAGCCGAGAUUGUGCCACUGCAAUCCAGCCUGGGUGACAGAGUGAGACUCCAUCUCAA
Molecule: non-coding RNA, 148 nt
Filed under: Nomascus leucogenys (northern white-cheeked gibbon)
Lineage: Eukaryota; Metazoa; Chordata; Mammalia; Primates; Hylobatidae
Source: Rfam by way of RNAcentral